This 495-nucleotide ribosomal RNA is filed under the name uncultured bacterium. RNAcentral's name for it is "partial 16S ribosomal RNA". It matches the Rfam family "Bacterial small subunit ribosomal RNA", at positions 28 to 505 of the family's 1533-position model. The record is from RNAcentral.
GAUGAACGCUGGCGGCGUGCCUAAUACAUGCAAGUCGAGCGAACAGACGAGGAGCUUGCUCCUCUGACGUUAGCGGCGGACGGGUGAGUAACACGUGGAUAACCUACCUAUAAGACUGGGAUAACUUCGGGAAACCGGAGCUAAUACCGGAUAAUAUAUUGAACCGCAUGGUUCAAUAGUGAAAGACGGUUUUGCUGUCACUUAUAGAUGGAUCCGCGCCGCAUUAGCUAGUUGGUAAGGUAACGGCUUACCAAGGCAACGAUGCGUAGCCGACCUGAGAGGGUGAUCGGCCACACUGGAACUGAGACACGGUCCAGACUCCUACGGGAGGCAGCAGUAGGGAAUCUUCCGCAAUGGGCGAAAGCCUGGCGGAGCAACGCCGCGUGAAUGAUGAAGGUCUUCGGAUCGUAAAACUCUGUUAUUAGGGAAGAACAAAUGUGUAAGUAACUAUGCACGUCUUGACGGUACUUAAUCAGAAAGCCACGGCUAACUACG